CACGCUAAUUGGAUAGUACGUAACGCUGUCAGCGUGUCGCCUACCAGUUGUACGCGUUACCGGCGUGGCCCAACGUCUCACUGUCAACAUAUUCACGUACAUAUACAAGAAGCCGGUAGCCAGAACGAUAAUAUUGUUCUAUUAUCUAAUACAACGCGCCAAACGAUAUGUCGAUCUACUAUGUGCUUUGUGAGGACUUUUUCACCGAUCAAAGUCGAAUUCAAUAGCGAUUAAAUGCGUAAUUGCAUAACCACGACCGUAGAUAUGUAUGAAAAUCAUGGUAUGUAUAAAUAAAUUAAAUUAAGAAGCAUUUUGAUCUUGAAAAUAAAUGCGUGUACAGCUAUAGGUAUAUAUCUAUUGUCUAAUUACGAUACACUAUUAUCGCUCGUAUCUUUUGUGCAGAUUACGAAUACUAAAUGAAUUGUUUUAUUGUGACGUAUAAUCGUAAAUAUUUGAGGUCAGCUUUGUCGAAGAUACAUGCACUUUUCGUUUCCUCGAGAUAAACGAGACCGAUUCUUUCUUUCCGCGUAAUUAGUUGUUCAAGAUUAUUAUUGGAAACUUUGAACUGUAUGUAUUCUGCUCUCUCUCUCUCUCUCUCUCUCUCUCUCUCUCUCUCUCUGUCUCUCUCUGUGUGCAUGCAGUUUCCAUUCUUCGCCUAAUCAAAUAAAAGAAAUAUUUAUUAUAUUAUUAUUAUGAUUUUGAUUUAUAAAUGGGAAUUCAUACACGUAAAAGUCUACAACUCUAGAAGCAUUAUUACUGUGUCAUUAUGAAUGUACACCUGAAUAAUGGAAAGAGAAAUAUUCGUUAAUUAAAUCAUUCACUUUGUUGACUCAAUGUCAAUUUUUUAUCUCCCGGUUCUGUGACGGUACAAAUUGAAGCAAACUUUUCGGAAAAUCGCCAUUUACCGAGUACGGGAAUCAGUACCUAUACGUGUUUUCUCACGUAAAUAAUUAAUUGACUACGAAACUUUACCACAUACAUUUAAACUUAAAUGCGGUUUAAAUUUAAAUUAUUGGCAUUCUCGCGUAAUUAAUUGUGAAAUUAAAUUCUCGAAUUUGCUUGAUCAUUUGUAACGACGUUGUAAUUAGAUAUUACAUCAAUUAACGCUAAAUGUACCAACAGUUUUUGUAUGUUUGUGCUAUAUUUAUAUCUUUAUACAUUUGAGUGCAAUUUACUGUUGCAUCGGCACUUCAGUUUGAUACUAGUUUAAAUAAUAAUUUCAACUUUAGCAAUAUGAGCAAACAAUUUCGUGUUCUAUUUAUUUUUUAUAAAAGAAUAUAGGAACGGUCAUUUGGUUAAUCAACGAUUCAUAUUGCCUAAUUUAUAAUCUUUCUUUAGUAAAAUAUAAUUUAAAAUAGACCGGUUACUACAGAGCAUCCAGAAUUCUCUACUGAAAUAUUGCUUCGCUAAGUAGCCAAGGAAAAAAGGCGUUAUCACCACGUUAUCAUCACGUGCUGAUGUUAGUUAAUAAGCUAGACUAUAAGGAGGAAAAUUGGCACGCGUCGCGCACGCGGCUCACGUCUUACUUCAAUGAAUAAAUUUAAGUCAUACACAUAGUAAGAUGUUUUUUACGCAAGAUCCGCUCAAUAAUAAAUGAUAUAAAUUAUUUAUUUUAAAGAAAUCAAAUCAGAAAAUAUAUAUGUUUGUAGUACUUUUCCAGUCGACUUUUUAGUCUAUCUCUACACACUGUUUACAUCGUGUUGUUACUUUUCUUAUAUCGCUGAGAAAAAAGUUCGCCGCCAUGUAGUGACGUUUUUCUUAAGUAAACCUCAAAAUUCAAGGUUACUUUCAAAUUAAGAACAAAAUUAAUUUAGUGUACGGAGAAUCCUUGUACGAAAUCUUGAAUAGUUAUUAGUAUUAUAUUAGUCCGCAUAGUUAAUGAGAAAUCAUUAAUAACAGUUCAUGUAUUUUAAGACGAGGACGUAUGACUCCGAAAAAUAAAGGUUUUAGUUUUACUUUUUCCUCUAAAAUGAGGAAACUAUAUUCAAGAACAAUAUCAAAAUUUACACAAAAUUAUUUCACAAUAUUAUAAAGUCGAUUCAUCAAUUUCUCUAAGAUUGACCACAUAUUGACACACAAACAGAAUAAUAUAUGUAUAUGCCAUAGAGUAUAUGGUAUAUGUUCUAAAAGAUAUGUACGUAUUCAUACCAUACAAAUCGAAAAGUGAAAUAAUUGUUUAAGUAGGUUUUAUAAGACAGAAUGCCUUAUGAAUAUAAAAAUUACUUUCUGUGUUAAAUAAUAACUAAUCAGGAACACUAA
Long non-coding RNA from Ceratina calcarata, 2259 nucleotides. RefSeq lists it as uncharacterized. The record is from RefSeq and is a predicted model, not a curated record. Lineage: Eukaryota; Metazoa; Arthropoda; Insecta; Hymenoptera; Apidae. The transcript is spliced from 2 exons.